This 89-nucleotide transfer RNA is filed under the name Bacillus inaquosorum. RNAcentral's name for it is "tRNA-OTHER". It matches the Rfam family "tRNA". Rfam says of the family: Transfer RNA (tRNA) molecules are approximately 80 nucleotides in length. The record is from RNAcentral. Lineage: Bacteria; Bacillati; Bacillota; Bacilli; Caryophanales; Bacillaceae.
GGAGAAGUACCCAAGUGGCUGAAGGGGUCCCUCUGCUAAGGAGAUAGGAUCUAUUGGCUGCACAGGUUCGAAUCCUGUCUUCUCCGCCA